AACGAACGCUGGCGGCAUGCCUAACACAUGCAAGUCGAACGAGACCUUCGGGUCUAGUGGCGCACGGGUGCGUAACGCGUGGGAACCUGCCCUUAGGUUCGGAAUAACUCCCCGAAAGGGGUGCUAAUACCGGAUAAUGUCUUCGGACCAAAGAUUUAUCGCCUUUGGAUGGGCCCGCGUUGGAUUAGCUAGUUGGUAGGGUAAAAGCCUACCAAGGCGACGAUCCAUAGCUGGUCUGAGAGGAUGAUCAGCCACACUGGGACUGAGACACGGCCCAGACUCCUGCGGGGGGCAGCAGUGGGGAAUAUGGGACAAUGGGCGAAAGCCUGAUCCAGCAAUGCCGGGGGAGUGAUGAAGGCCUUAGGGUUGUAAAGCUCUUUUCCCCGGGAUGAUAAUGACGGAACCGGGAGAAAAAGCCCCGGCUAACCCCGU
RNAcentral lists this ribosomal RNA (432 nucleotides) under uncultured bacterium. RNAcentral describes it as "partial 16S ribosomal RNA". It matches the Rfam family "Bacterial small subunit ribosomal RNA", at positions 29 to 506 of the family's 1533-position model. The record is from RNAcentral.